GCGGAGUGGCCGGCGCUAGGGCUGCACGGAGCAGCGCCUGGACCGUAGUCUCGGCUGGGGACUGCAGUCUGGAGGGGUCCCUGGACACUCACGCGCCCAGCGACCGUGACACCGCCGGAGGCCACUCCGCCUCGGGAUUGGCCCCACCACCCCCUCGAAAGCGCGGGUCUGCCACUCCACCCGGGGCCCAGACUAAGCGGAGCCGCUACCUGCAGCUGGCCCUGGCCGAGCCGACUGGACUCGAGCUGGCGCCGCCGCCCGCGCCGUCCCCGCUGUCCACUCUCGUCUGCGGACCGUGCCUGGCGUUGUCGCUGCGCGCCUGGCUGAGCCGGGCUCUGUGCUCCCUGCUCGCUCCGGGCUAGGCUCAGGCGCUGCCGGGACGCGGAGGCGGAGCCGCCGCCCCCACCUGCUUGCUGCGGCCGCCCCGGAGCCCCGCCGCCCGGCGCACAGGGACGCGGCCCAGCGGGCGGGGUCGCUUUGGCACACUGGGGGCGGGUCCCGGCCGCUCGGCGCACCUCCCAGAACCUAGUGAUACUACAACUAGAUUUCAACCAAGAAAUGAUGAAUGGGAUGCCAACUACCACUAUCUACAAUGACAGAGGAGAAGCUGGAGACAGUGUUGUGUUGCUAGGUACCCAAGCCAAAGCCAGCGGCUCUCCACCUCUGGACUAUUUAUUAAAGACAGUCUAAUUUGGAAAGGAACAUUUACAGGGCUCGAGUUUUACAGUUAAAUGUACUCCUAAUGGAAAACGUAACUUGAAAAGAACAAGACCUCCUAUCUGCUCCCACCACUCACCACUCACCUGCAGUUGCUCACCUGCCCCACCUCGGCUGCAGCAGAUCUACCAGCAGCCCUUCUGCUCCGUGCCAACUCCUGCAGCUGUUGUUGGAGUUCAUGCCUGGCCUCCUGCGACCGCCUUCAACAUGGGUUCACAGGCUCCAAGGCCCUGCAACCACUCCAGUCUUUCCCAAGAGCAACUUUUAUCAUCUAUCUUGUCUGCUUGCAACCUGAGUCAUUCCCUUCUGACCUUGGGACAAAGCCCGAGAAUGGAGUAUUAUCUAUAAGAUAAAACCUCUAAGGGUUGUAGAGCAGAGGAUGAGGAAAGACCUUCCGAAAGCAGCCCCGGAUCUUUAGGAUGGCUGGUGAUCAGCACUCUGGUGCUCAAAGAAAAAUUGAAAAAAUUAUUGAAAUUGCCUGUAAAAUUGGAGCAAAUUUAAAGCUGAAAGUGCAAAACAGCAACAACAACAACAAAAACAAACAAACAAACAACCAAAGACGCCCUCAGAUAACAGCAGUUUUAGUACAGCUGAGAGAGAAGAUGGGUGAAAGACUGAGGCAUAGAUCAGGUUCUGCUGGAGAAGCCAGGCUCAACUUCCUCAUUUAAACCACGGGGGGAGGAAAAACCAAAAACUGCCCCCCAGGGGAACCCCCAAAAGAGAGGUGAAGAAAAUCCAUAUCAUGUUCCAUAGGAACUGGAAAAGAAGGUGUUCCUUGGAGGCUGAGCUUCAGAAGCUCUCCAGUUCUCUGUUCACCAUCCCUCCAGGAGCCUCCAUACUGUCUGGGUUGAAACUGUAUCCUGGAAUCCUUCUAUUGGCCUACACAUUCACAGAACUGGCACCAUCCCCUAUAAGACAGACAGCCGAACCUUCCUGUUUGUCCUGCGUAUCAUUAUCCUUCUACCUGGAUAGAGCUCUGUCUCUGACAUCUUUAUUAUUUACUAUUGCUGCUCAGAGGCCCUUGAAGGAUGGAAUCAGUGCGAUGAUCACAGGCUUCACUGCUGUCUCCCACAUAGGGUCAACCUCACAGAGCUUUUCUGGAAGAUUGCAGGUUAGAUAACCUCAGGCAGGACCCUUCAGGCACUGAUUGGCAGCUGCUCUUUUCUAGCCUUAGAAAGGAGAAGUUUCUCUUGGCAGAAGAGCACGUGAGAAUAUUUUCCUUUAUGAUGAGGUCCCACUGAAGUGAGAAAGAAUCUUUGUUCUAAAAUUGAAAGCUUUUUAGAUUUAAUAAACUUAGAGGGUGAAAAAUCUUACUAGCUCAGAAGAAGAAGAGAAAGAAGGAGGAGAACCAAUACUCUCUUUUUGCUCUCUCCUUUGGAGGUGGUCAGAAUUAUCCAGGGAAUGAGGGCCUAAGCGGCUUAGUGGUCCAGCCUGAGGAAGGCCCACCUCAGCGGAACAGGCUGUGGAUUGUGCAGAACAGUCAGGAAGGGGUCUGGGAGUUCAUCCCCUCAGAGUUUCUGGCUGUGUGGACCUCUGUAGGAGAAACAAAUGCCUUGGAAUUUUAAGCCAUGAUUAGAUGGCUUGCUGCCACUCGCCUGCUGUGGGGUCUGGGGCCAGCUUUCUUUUUCUGUGUCUGAUUACUGGGACAAAGGACAGCCUCAGUACCUAUUUAUUUCCUAAGGCUCAUUGUGAAAUACCAAUGCAGACCAUGUCUUCUGUCUUACUAUCGAUCUGUCCAGUCAGCAUUUACAGAAAGGCAGCUGAAGCAUCAUACCUCCCAGAGGGAACACUUAGGUCAAGUCCUCCCCGAAAGAUACACUCAUUCCCCUGUACCCCAGUCAGUGGGAUAUAACUGUGUCCUGAGGUCCUAAAAGGUCACCUGAUAUCGGUCUUGCCACUCGGUGUAAAUAAAUGCAAACCCUGAAAGCCUGGCUUUGUUCUUUCUGUCUGGAUGUUACUGUUCUCCUGAUCUCCUGACUUUCCCCGAUGGCAGGGUUUGUCUUUGUUUCUUUUUUAAUCUGCACAGAGGCCAGAUCUGGUCCUGCUGGUUUGGCCUUCAACUUUUCCUCCGACUCUGCUGUGUUCCCGUCACUACUCACCACGCUGACUCUGCCUUAUCUCCAGCCGCUCUCCUCUCCUCCCCUCUUGGCUUCUGUGCUGUCUGUUCCCCACACAGCUGCAAAGUGAUCUUUGCAAAAGGUCAGUGAGAUGCAGUUACCCCUGCACAAAAUCCUCCAGUACCUUCCAACCUCUUUCCAAGGCCUAUAAGACCCACUGGGCAUGCCCACUGGCAGGUCAUGGGUCAGUAGGAGAGAGGACAGCUGUCAGUGCCACCUAAGAUCUGGAAAAAAUUGGGGGAGGAGACAAAAAUGA
Long non-coding RNA from Onychomys torridus (southern grasshopper mouse), 3090 nucleotides. RefSeq lists it as uncharacterized. The record is from RefSeq and is a predicted model, not a curated record. Lineage: Eukaryota; Metazoa; Chordata; Mammalia; Rodentia; Cricetidae. The transcript is spliced from 5 exons.